UAUUUUUUGAUAAAUAGUGAACUGGAUAUUUUAUUACAAAAAAGAAAGAAAAAAAAAGGCUGGCCCUAUAAGUAACUAGGCGCAACCCAAUAUCUUAAGUAAAUAACAGUAAAAAACAAAAAACAAAGGCUGGCCCAAACAAACAAAAUGGGCUCAGCCCGAGGUCCUUAAAAACAAAAUAGAUUAAAGAAACUCUAACACAAAUAUCCAGUCAAUCAUGACAGCAUUCAUUUCCCCC
This 238-nucleotide long non-coding RNA is filed under the name Gossypium raimondii (Peruvian cotton). RNAcentral describes it as "long non-coding RNA (GRAI_LNC009797)". The record is from RNAcentral. Lineage: Eukaryota; Viridiplantae; Streptophyta; Magnoliopsida; Malvales; Malvaceae.